Molecule: ribosomal RNA, 440 nt
Filed under: Sphingomonas sp. R1_7
Lineage: Bacteria; Pseudomonadati; Pseudomonadota; Alphaproteobacteria; Sphingomonadales; Sphingomonadaceae
Description: bacterial SSU rRNA
Rfam family: Bacterial small subunit ribosomal RNA
Source: RNAcentral
AUCCUGGCUCAGAACGAACGCUGGCGGCAUGCCUAACACAUGCAAGUCGAACGAACUCUUCGGAGUUAGUGGCGCACGGGUGCGUAACGCGUGGGAAUCUGCCCUUGGGUACGGAAUAACUCAGAGAAAUUUGUGCUAAUACCGUAUAAUGACUUCGGUCCAAAGAUUUAUCGCCCAAGGAUGAGCCCGCGUAAGAUUAGCUAGUUGGUGGGGUAAAGGCCUACCAAGGCUACGAUCUUUAGCUGGUCUGAGAGGAUGAUCAGCCACACUGGGACUGAGACACGGCCCAGACUCCUACGGGAGGCAGCAGUGGGGAAUAUUGGACAAUGGGCGAAAGCCUGAUCCAGCAAUGCCGCGUGAGUGAUGAAGGCCUUAGGGUUGUAAAGCUCUUUUACCCGGGAUGAUAAUGACAGUACCGGGAGAAUAAGCUCCGGCUAACU